GCAGUGACGCGUUGUUCAGUGCAUACUUGACAUUCUUCCUGAAGCUUGCUUGAAAAAUCCAAUUAUCCAUCUGUGCGGUACACGACAUUGGAACCUCAAAGACAUCAAAAGUAGUUGAAUAACCCCACCUCCUAUGGCCUAGAUAUACAGUUUGUUGGCCAAGCCAAGGUGAAACACGAGUCGUGCACUGGGUGCGACUACGGGCCUCGUCCUUUACAAACAAAGACAUUGCACACCCGGGUUCCCUGUGUUUCCGAUUAAUAGCGCUACUUAUCGGACAAAUUAACGUCGGUGACAUUAAACAACGAAAUUCAUCGUCUGCUGAUAACUCUACAAAGGCUUGUCUAUCAGUUGGUACGGCUAGAAAUAGUGGAAGAGGAUAAAAUUGUUCACCUUGUGUGGCAUUGUCUAUAAGGCGCGGCAAACUGAUUUUUUUAUAGAGUGUAAAGCGAAAAGGAAACUCAAAAACAGGUAAAUGAAUAAAAAUUCUAAGACCAUUAUUAACCGCAGCCACGACUACUUUAGCUUCAGUGUACACCUUCCAGACAUCGCCCUUCUGAAUGGAUGGACUGAAGGACCAUCCUGACGGCAGCACAGAUUUAAUUUCUUUCAGGGCGGCUUGAACUUGCAGCGGGGGAAAAAGGGUAGCUGGUAGACGUUCCAUAGCCAUAGCAGCCAACCCAACGACAAAAUUAUCCAUCACCUCUUCGAUCCAUCCCACGGCGGACCCAAUUUGACGGAACGCAUCUCCAACUUUCGUGGUAGCAAUCCAUUGCCUUUCGAUCUCUUUCACCACCCAGUCCAUUUUGUUGUCCAUUUUCGAUGCCUCUCGUUCGAUUUUUGCAAAAGCCAUCUGUAGCUCGGCUACGGCGUCGCCACUUGCCUUAGUUUCCCACAGCGUCUCGUUAAUGAGAGAAGCAUGAACUUCCAGGGCAUGCACAAUGGAUGUUGUCUCCGUCGAAAGCUUAUUGAUCCGGCCGUUCACGUGUUCGAGAUCUUCUUGGGUAGAGACCCCAAAAAGCCAGUUAAGAAGUCGACCUCCUCCAUCCACUAGGCCACGUUUCACUCUGCACUCUUGCACACCGACGGCUGUUUUUAGUUCAUUCCAGCGCUGAUGAACCUUUUGCGCGUUCUUUCACAUGUUGUUGCAAUGCCUGUUUAAACUGUGACUUAACUCCGUCGUAGUGAUCGGACAUGGCAUUCACUCGAAUUUCUAA
This is a long non-coding RNA of Daphnia magna, 1217 nucleotides long. RefSeq lists it as uncharacterized. The transcript has 2 exons. The record is from RefSeq and is a predicted model, not a curated record. Lineage: Eukaryota; Metazoa; Arthropoda; Branchiopoda; Diplostraca; Daphniidae.